CCAAGAGGCCCCAAUCAAGACCCUGGGCAGUCAGCGCCCGGCUGCUCCUCUGCACAGCGGACGGUUCCCCAGCCCGCGCCCCCCAGUCUCCCUAAAAGCUGUGUGCGGUGUGCAGAUUCGAGCUCGAAUUCUCCGCGCUCUAUCACGCCCCUGUCCUAACUUGAAGGGCUACGAGAAGGGCAGGACGAGCGUCUAGACGGGCACGUCCCCUCAGUGAGUUUACACGACUUGCUAGUCCCUACUGCUCUCUCCCUACAUGCGAUAAAGGGCAAGAGUACACAAUAUCGGGCUGCAGUUUCAGAACUGACCUUUCUCCGUUCUGAAAACCAGUGCAUGUGCGCGCCGCCGGGCACCAGCCCUUGGGCGAGUCCCAGCUUACUCCUCCUCCGGGGAAGGGGAAGCCUGGGCCACCGGGCUCCGCGACCAGCUAGCGACAGUUUGAGAUGCGUUGAUCUUUCAUUUCUGUUGCUGCUCAUGCUAACAUCCACAGACUGACACGGUAACAGGACAACGGAGUGAGGGGACAUGAUCACAAGUGAGCCCCAGAGAGUAGCCCAAGAGUCUUGGUAUCCUCAGGAAAAUUAGCUUAAAGCAGGAAAUGAUGAUCUGCUGCAUUCAAGGUAUUAGGAGACAAUACAAAGGGAAAAGGACCUGUCCUCCCUCCAAAACCUGGGAGCCGUGGAGCACAGAGGGAUACAAGUCACUGGAGAAACUUCAGAAGGACAAGGAAGUUACAGUUAGGUAAGGAAAUAGGAAAGAUGCUCUUAACCUGGGAUUCCCAGGGAGAGGCAACGGGGUAAAAAAAAGGGAAAGAAGGGAAAAAAAGAAAACCUGAAGAGUUUUUAGUCAUGUGCCUUGUGUAUGUUCACUUUUGUUUACAUACAUUUAUCCAAAUCCUGAAAACCCGAAGCGGAUAAUCCUACUUGAGAAGAAACAAGCUCAGAGAGGUUAUCUAACCACAUCAGCCAGCCAAUGAAUGGCAAACAGACCUUAAUAUCUGCUGUUUUUAACAUUUUAGUGUUUUUGCAUAAUCCUACAAAUACCAUUUGACAGGUGAUCCUGAGGUUCAGGGGGGUUAAGUAAUUUGAUCAAGGGAACUUGCCUGUCAGCAAGUCCAAGGUGCAAACCAAAUCUCACAGGUUCAUCCCACGUUCACAGCCGCACCAAGGCGGAAACACACCUAAGGUGAAACAAAAUAUGACAGUAUUAGCAUAUACAUAUCAGGGCUAGUGUAGGUGUAAGGCUGAGAACAGAUUGGAGGCAGAUCAUAAGAAUUGGUGAAUCAUCUUGGAUGAUGACGUCUAUAAAUGCAUACCUGAUUUGUUCCAAAGAGGAUUUGAAGCACAGGAAAAUACCAAUGAGAUGAGAGUAAAGGACGAAAGGAAAUCAAAGGCAGUAAGUGCUUAAACUAAAAGGUGAAUAGGAAAUUGAACUCCAGGUUUCUUAGCCCAAGAAGUAGACAUGAUUAGUUACAAGAGUCUUCUGCAUCCAUAAACGAAUAAUCACUGUAUCCCUCUGUAGUUUCCCAGGACUGUUUCUUUCCAUCCAUAUGCACACACGACAUACUUGCGAACAGAG
RNAcentral lists this long non-coding RNA (1578 nucleotides) under Suricata suricatta (meerkat). RNAcentral describes it as "lncRNA (ENSSSUG00005018184.1)". Lineage: Eukaryota; Metazoa; Chordata; Mammalia; Carnivora; Herpestidae. The record is from RNAcentral.